GACAUCAGUAUAAUAAGCCCAACGGGAGAAUGAUAUGGCAAUUUCUAAAUUUCCUAGAAGGAUCGCUCAGGAGGAUGGGCUUGAGCAGGCUGCCUUCCAUGUCACACCACCACUGGGCACAUUUUGUUUUUUGGCAACUGCCCCAACAGGGUCACAUCUUGUUUGGCAUUUUAAUUCCUCAUGCAUCAGUGGCAACAUCAAAGGUCACAGAAAGGAUUAUUUCACACUUUAAGAGAAAGUGACUCAGGGUUGUUGGAAGGGGUGCCUGGUCCCCGGGCCAUGGACUGGUACCAGUUUGCGGACUGUUACGAACUGGGCGGCACAGCAGGAGGCAAGAGGCAGGUGAGUGAGCAUUCCCACCUGAGCUCCCCCUCUUGUCAGAUCAGCCUUGGCAUUCGAUUCUCAUAGAAGAGUGAACCCUAUUAUGAACUGCGCAGGCAAGGGAUCUAGGUGGUGCAUUCCUUAUGAGAACCUAAUGUCUGAUAAUCUGAGAUGGAACAGUUUCAUCCCCAAACCAACCCUGCUGGCCUGUGGAAAAAUUGUCUCCCAUGAAACCAGUCCCUGGUGCCAAAAAGGUUGGGGACCACUGGUCUGUAAUUUGUAAUAUUGAGAGAAAUUGGGGAAAACAAAGAUUUUUCAGAAUCCAAAGUGUAAACUGAUCUAGUGUAAAAGAUUUAUAGCAAAUAACAGACCCAAAAGCCUUAGUUUAAGGCCAGUAAGAAAUCAAAAUCAUAAGAAGAAUGAGGCUAGGGUAAACCCAACCCAGGAAAAUAGCUCUGAGUAGACGCUAAAAGGAAUUUGACUUGAGAGGCAGAUAUGGAAACACUUCUCUACCAUGAUCUAAGGAUCUGAAAUGAGCAACUCAAUUUUCCUGGUGAAAAUAUUCAAACUCCAUCGUUUGCAAUUCAGUUCCCUUUAUGAGAUGGCCCAACCUCUGUUUGUUUCCUAGUCACUUCUUUCAUAGCCAGUGUGUAUCCAAUGAGUAGACCUAUGGGCCACUCUUGUCUGUGCUUUCCUGCUGCCAUGGUGACAUGAGUUUUGAAUUUCUCUUUACCUAGAUUACCUACACCUCCACUUUGAAAAUAAACACACUGCUCAUAUUUGACCAAAUGGAUCAGUUUGUCCAUAAAAUUUCCUCUGAUUCCCUCAGCUGGAAGUACUCUUUCUUUCUAAAUCCUAAAUUCAUGCUAAGUACCUCAUCUGGUCGCUUAACGCAUUCUGUUUUGGUUUCAACUGUUGAUGCAUUCUUUUACUACGCUGUAAACCCUUAAGAGAUAACAUAUAUUUUAUUGUUCAUAGGCAAGCCAACCUUGCUGAUAAAUAUUCACAGAAUAAUUAAGAUUAC
This 1345-nucleotide long non-coding RNA is filed under the name Homo sapiens (human). RNAcentral's name for it is "non-protein coding lnc-MMRN1-12:3". Lineage: Eukaryota; Metazoa; Chordata; Mammalia; Primates; Hominidae. The record is from RNAcentral.